UACGGAGAGUUUGAUCCUGGCUCAGGACGAACGCUGGCGGUGUGCUUAACACAUGCAAGUGGAGCGACGAACCAGAGCUUGCUCUGGGGCAGAGCCGCGAACGGGUGAGUAACACGUGGGUAACGUACCCCGAUGACCGGGACAACCCGAGGAAACUCGGGCUAAUACCGGAUGUGCUCCUGGUCCAUGAGGACCUUGAGUAAAGGAAGCUUCGGCCUCCGCAUCGGGAGCGGCCCGCGGCCCAUUAGCUUGUUGGUGGGGUAAUGGCCUACCAAGGCAACGAUGGGUAGCUGGUCUGAGAGGACGAUCAGCCACACUGGGACUGAGACACGGCCCAGACUCCUACGGGAGGCAGCAG
RNAcentral lists this ribosomal RNA (358 nucleotides) under Solirubrobacterales bacterium. RNAcentral's name for it is "bacterial SSU rRNA". It matches the Rfam family "Bacterial small subunit ribosomal RNA", at positions 1 to 354 of the family's 1533-position model. The record is from RNAcentral. Lineage: Bacteria; Bacillati; Actinomycetota; Thermoleophilia; Solirubrobacterales.